This 433-nucleotide ribosomal RNA is filed under the name uncultured bacterium. RNAcentral describes it as "partial 16S ribosomal RNA". It matches the Rfam family "Bacterial small subunit ribosomal RNA", at positions 29 to 507 of the family's 1533-position model. The record is from RNAcentral.
AACGAACGCUGGCGGCAUGCCUAACACAUGCAAGUCGAACGAGACCUUCGGGUCUAGUGGCGCACGGGUGCGUAACGCGUGGGAACCUGCCCUUAGGUUCGGAAUAACUCCCCGAAAGGGGUGCUAAUACCGGAUAAUGUCUUCGGACCAAAGAUUUAUCGCCUUUGGAUGGGCCCGCGUUGGAUUAGCUAGUUGGUAGGGUAAAAGCCUACCAAGGCGACGAUCCAUAGCUGGUCUGAGAGGAUGAUCAGCCACACUGGGACUGAGACGCGGCCCAGACUCCUACGGGAGGCAGCAGUGGGGAAUAGUGGACAAUGGGCGAAGGGCUGAUCCAGCAAUGCCGGGUGAGUGAUGAAGGCCUUAGGGUUGUAAAGCGCUUUUAACCGGGAUGAUAAUGACAGUACCGGGAGAAUAAGCUCCGGCUAACUCCGUG